UGUUGCGGCUUGCCGGCUAAGCAGCUGAAAAUUUGCUUCAGUAUUCCUUGGUACGCCAGUACCUGUGAGUCUUAUAGAUAUUAAUUUCUCUUUAAUGAAUUUCACGCGAAAGAACCGGAGGCGAAAUCAAAAAUAACUGGAGAUCUUUACUAUUGCUACGGCAUUAAUGGCGCGGUAAGAAGCGCGUGGGACAUCGGAGCGCCGUGUGUCCACUAACCAUAUCCGCCAAGGCUCAAAAUAACCGAUGAUGGAUCCAUCGAAUAAAAAGGAUUUUGAGGCGACCCAACCGCACGCCCUUUCUGUCUGCGCAGCAACAAUGAAAGCGCUUUUCAUGGAAUAUGUUCACGAUCCCGAUACACCGGCGGUGCGGAUAAAGAUCCAGGAAGCAUGGGAAAAAUUAGGAGGAGCCACAAACCUCCUUGAGAAUUUCUCGGUGGGCGAAGCGAGUAUUUCGGUAGUAUCCUGUCUGAAGUACUUGUCCAGGCGCCACGGUCUGCCGCAGUCAGUAAUUAAAAACAUACUAUCCAAGUUACGCUCAAUCGCCGAUAAAAAUCCGGAAGGUUCGAGCGACGCUUUCGUGAACCAGCAAAUCACACAGAGUCUGAAAUACAGCCUGAAACAUGAUCCAUCGAGUGUCAACGUGAAGCAACUUAUGAAUGCUUGCUCUACCGUGUUAGAUGCGGACGAAAAGGAUGCUUUUCGCGACCUGCCGUUGCACGUUCAAGAUGCAAUUUCCCAGUUGGUGCAGUGCAUCAUCCUGAAGAUCAGUGCAUGCAAUCCUGGAGACGAAGCCGACCGUGAUCGCUUGGUAAAGCUCGCAUUCAAAUAUAUUCCAGCUGCUAACGCUGAUACGAAAGCCCAGCUUCAAGAAACGCUCCAGGCACACGGAAUAUCACUCUCAAUUCACGGCGAAAAACCGCGCGAAGCGAUGCUAAUAGAUAUUGCCAGUGAUAAAUUCAGUGGAUCAACCGAUGAAAUGUUUGCAAGCGGACAGGAAAUGCUUGGGCGAUGCGUGAGCUCGGGAAAAAGCGCGGUGAAGGCCGACGCUGUCAAUACCCAACAAACGGUCACCACAGUGUACAAGGAGAACAUGUCCGAAAAAACGGAAUUGCAGCGGAUUGAUUUGGCCAAAGCGCUGAACAGCAGUCGCGCUAGCAGUCGUGGGACCGCACACAAAAUGGAAAUCAACCCGGCACUGAGCAGUAAAGGCGACAGUGUCCGUUCGUACUUCCGCAGCACUGCGCAAGAAAUCGAUAAUCUGUUGGCCCGAGCGCAGGCGAAUAUGGCCGUCUGUCAGGACGACAUCGUGUAUCUGAAGGAUAAAUUCUGUUACGGUUACGUAGGGAAUUUCUGGGAAGGCCGCAUAACGACCUUCGCCAAUAUCGCGCUGACCUUUUCCGUUAUCGCCAAAAACCAGAUUGUGGACGAUACCAUUCAGGAGGAUUUGGCCAAGAUAACGUUCGACGCAUCACUCGACGGCAGCUAUGACGAGUGCCGGUUACUGUUUCUGAAAAUGUUUCAGCUGUGUGCUGAACGCAGCAAUUCGAAACUUCCAGAAAAAGUCACAAAAAUAUUGCUGAAAUUUCAGAAGAACAGCGAAUGCACACGCGAUAUGAAGAAAAUUUUGUGGGUCAUACUGAAAAAAGACGACAGCAACUUGCAGGAGAGUUUCGCCGCGGCUCUGGAGAUACUACAGCAUGCUAAGGAAGAACAGGAUGAAAUGACCCGAGACAGCAUUGAGUAUAUUUGGGAACAAGUUGUCAAUCCUGCUCGAGCGUUGCACCUAGAGAAAAGUCUAACUUUUUCCUCCACAUUGAUUGAUAUUUUAAGCGGGAGUGAGAAAGGUCAGUAUGGUUUGGACACAGCUUCGCAAGUAGCCGCUAUUCUGGACGACCUUUUGUCGCAUGUUCCUGGUGAGCUUCCCCAAGCCGUAUCCGAGGGAAUUCAAACCCUGCUGAGCAGUUUCAAAGAAGCCUGGAAAGUAUAUUCCAAUUGGAGUGAGAAGGAUUCCGAACCGCACCGAAGACUAUAUAUACAGAGCGUCAUUGCGAUCAUCCUUAAUACUUUAAGUCAUCGGAAAUUUGACGCCUCGCGCAUCGAUUCACUAGACGUACUCCCGAUUAUGGUGCAUCUUGCGCUGGACCCCGAGACUGAUCAGCGUCUGGUCGCCCACAUCAUCAUCGUUCUGGGCAACCUGGUUAUCGAGAAGAAAGUGAGUCACAUACCCGGAGUGGAGCAGCUGGCUUCUCGUCUGAAAUUAAACGACGCGAUCGACGAAGACGGUAUGAUCCGCUUGGAUUCUGAUCAGACGACAAAGACCGUGGGCCUCAAAUACGUAUCGGCAGUGAUUGCACAGAUGCUGCUGCAGCUGAUCUUUAUCCCUGAGGAACCUCUACGCUACGCCACCACCCUCGACGAAAUUAAGGCGGCAAUCAAUACCAGUCCUGACAAAAACACGCAGAUUCGUUGUGCGGAAUGCAUUUUCCAUGCAGUUGUUAACAGUUACCCCGAUAUGACCGAUAAGUAUUUGUGGCCGUUGCUUCCGCUUACUAGUAGCGCGGUCGCUGAUGUCCGCAUCAAUUGCACGGCCGCGUACUGUCUGCUUCUCGAGCGCGUGACUUUCAGCGAACGAAAACAUGUACUGACUACGAACGAACUGACUGAUUUGUCCCUCAUGUACACCUAUGAACCGGUUGUACUCAGUGGACGUGAUUUCACCAAGGUCAUUAAUGCCUCCGUGUUAAAGGUCGUGCUGAAUGCUGCGCCUGAUGUGCGGUUUUCCGACACGGUACACCAGCAACUGUCCACAAUCUUAAUGGCAGAAGGAGCGCCACACGCUGAAGUGGAUCAGGAAAUGGUCCUCAAGAUUCUGUAUGCGCAGGUUCAAUCGCCAGUCGUCAGACAAGGGCUGCCGAUGUACUGCUUGGAUGCAGUGGAAAACCUGGUUCUAACCAACAUAACCAACAAUCAACAUUUCGAAAUCUGUGCCAACAUCUUAACUGUGGUUUUGCAGAGGUUCCAUCAGUGUAUAAAUCCUGCGGUUUUGGAUUUCGUCCAGCACCGAUUCGAUACGGAACAGCGUUUUGAACGGCUGUGCUUCUGGUUGACCUUUGCCGCCAUCUGUGUGCAGGAUGUUCCUGAGCAUGUUUUCCAUCGAUUUGACCUGGAGUUUGCGUCAGUGCGUUUAUUGGCAGCGUACAGCUCUUCGGAAACCUUCGGUUUUAUCGAAACCCUGAGUCAGCACGCAAAGAACUGUUUAUUUGUGCAUCUCAAAAGCUAUUUCCAGCGUGGAUUUAAAAUGUCUGGAUUAAACAAGAAACUUUUCGACUUGUGCAUUCAAGAGAAAAUCAAUGUAGAGAUCAUUUUGGAGUCUUUGCUGCUGGUGUGCGAAAAUGGACAGAUUCUCCCGCGAGAUUUAAUUGACCGUGUAUUUGACCAUGUAAACGAAGACCAAUUGCCGGUUGCGCAGCUUUCUUUAGCCUCCGCCAUCGUACAGAACAACCAGUCGUUGCCGAAGGCGUUCACCCAAAAAAUUGUUGCUAAUUUCUGCUCGGGCAGUUUUCCGGAACUGUUCCAAAAUUCCGAAAAAUGCGCAAAGUUCAACAUCAUCACCAAAUUGAUGCAUAAUAAUUUUGAGAUACCCGACACGCGCAACGUUACCGCAAAACUGUGCGAAGGCUGGAAGAGUGAAAGCGGCGGUAAUCAUCGUCAAAAACUCGACAUAAUUUCAGCGUUGGCGAGUCAGGUUAACUCCGUGUUCGCGGCGUGUGAUAUCGAUCCGCAGCCGUUGGAGACGGUCUUCGUGGAAGCUAUGAGUUCCGACAAUGCGCAAAUGAUCGAAACGGCGUUGAAUGGUUUCAUCGCUCUGAGCCGGCACAGAAGCCCGGCGGAGUCACUGUGUGAUGACAGUCAUUUCACGCUGUUGAUGAAACUUCAAAGAUCUGCUUCGUCCACCGACUCCGUUAAAGAAACGAUCGCGGAGUUUUUAACAUCUAUGCAGAAAAUUCUCCCAGCACAUGUGAGAGCCAGUCUGAAUUUGUCGCAUCUGGAGAACAAGGCAAACCUGGAAGUGGUGACCGAUCUUCCAAUGCUAUGCAAACUGGAUGACUUCGAAUUUUUUGAAUCGCAGCCAUGUCAAACGCGACUACAGAAAAUUCUGGAAAGCGAUGGCGACAUGGAUGUUGUUAUGGAGGUACUAACGAUAAUUGCGAGCUAUCCGCGUAUUUCUCGUCUGCCAGCAAAGACUCUCGAAGCAGUUGGAUUCGUAAAGCUCAGUAAGAAUCAUCCGAAGGUUACUGAAAAAUGUCAAAGUGUCAUAGCUGCUGGUUUGGAGAACGGAAUUCAGUUAACGGAAAAACUGAAAGCGUACAUGUCGUCCGACCAGCAAAGCGAACGCGCAUCACCGAUCGGUGCGAAUGCAACCGAGAGCCACAAAAUUGUUAGUCAGCUGUACGAAUUCCUGAACACGGAAACGACGCCAGUCACACUUACGAAAGUGUUAAAUGAAAGCAACGGUCUGGAUGAGCAAACGUUAACGCUGCUGUUGGAAAAGGAUUUCUCCUGGUGUGCGAAUUUAGCAGAGUAUUUAGCCAACCAAGUUCUGUUACCUUUGGCUUCAAAGACCAUUGGCUAUAACUAUCAGUUGCGGAAAAAGUUCAUGGAAGUAUUUUGCAACGAAAUCCGUAUCCGUGGGGAAGCUGUGAGUGAUACGUUGCUGGAAGCGCUAAAGACUGUACUUUCUAUGCACCAAGAACCGGAACUCAGCGCGGAAGAAUUCAUUUACGCUUUUUUCCACUCUGCCUCGGCCAGUGCAACAAUUUCGAUCGAUAGGAUGCGACGUAUCUUGCAGUGCCUAGUAGCGUUGGUGACGUCUGCGAGCCGCUGCAAUCCCGAAACGCUGAUUGAGCCAAACGUUUUGCAGUUUUUUCCUGCGCUGUUGCAUCAUCCAUCGUCUUUCGUGCGAAGACAAUGCGUCCUUGCACUGGAAAUUGUAAGUUCCGUUACGUCGGUCACAGACUUGACUGCUGAUGUCUCUUCGUCAGCCGCUCAGAUAAGAACACUUCUUGACUCGAUCAUCACCCACGCGCUUCAACAGAUCUUUGCGGAAUGCGGUGAUUGCGAAGUCACCCAACAACUGGCGCUCGACACAAGUUUUAAUGACGAUUUUGCUUGGUUUCUCGUAUGCCUGACAAACUGGGAUUUCGAUAUCGUCAAGCCGGUGCGCUCCGAUCGCACACAGUGGCGACAACGUAUGCUUAAGUCGGAUUUUCUGCUGAAUUUUGCGGAUUCCUUCGACCGGGCGGUCGACUUACAUAAGCACGUGUUGACCAUUGCAAGCAAGUUUUCCGCUGAUGAAGAACGCGAAGAAUUCUUCGAUUACCUGUCACUGGUCUGUUACGACGCCGAAAAUUCAGACUUGCCGAAAACGCUAUCAUCUUUAACAUUGCUGGAUGCAAAAGAGCUAAAAGAAUUGUCACUCAUUCCAAGUGCCGACUUCAGACGACAGCUUGCGGAACAAGUCAUCUCGAAGCUUUUUGCGGAAAGGGUCACUUUCACCCAGUCUCCUCAGAUUCGGAGUUUAUUAACACAACAACUAAUUUCGGUAUUCGGAAUUCAUUUGGCGACAACCAUUUGCAUAGCGUGCGAAAGAAUCGAGUCCAUGCAAGAAUUCACUGCGUUCUUGGAGUAUUUCGAAGGAACAACAGUUAAAGAUUUGGCAAGGAAACAGGAUAGCUUCGGGCAACAAACUCCAAGCACAAAACGCUUGCAGCAAAUCGCUGUGCAACUGGGAACCGAGUUUCUCGUGCAAAAUAUUCCGGAACACACCGCCCAUCGGCAGAGAAUCGAACGCGUGAUUGGUAAACUCUUGCAGAACGGAGUAUUGCUUUGCGAUCUGCAGCAGCUUCUCACCGUGUGUGUAUCCGCUUCUCCAGCACUAAAAUCAUUCGUGCAUGCGAUUGGUCAAGCGUAUCAGUAUCGGUUAACCGGCACGUCCUUCGCCGCUCUACGGGAGGUGGCUUCCCGGGCACAAUCCGAAAUGGAGAUCAUAGCAGCAGUCAAUAAAUUCACACGAGAAAAUGUCUUUGAUGGCAAACACGGUGUCAAACAGGCCGCACACAUUGUCAGCGAAUUCCGUCGCGACAACACGCGUGUUUCAUACAAAUGGAGCUGUCUACGGGAGCGUUUCGUCAAAGCCGGUUACGAAUGGGAAAUCUUGCAGCUGCACAUCUUCCGCAUCUUCAACGCUGAUCUCCGAAGCCGCGUUUACAAAUCCGACAUCCUGGUUAACACGUGGACCGAUACGGACAUUACAAACUGGGCGUUGCAAGCGGUCGCCAGAAAGUGCGAAUAUCGACCAGCGGAAUUCGUAACGGAGGCAUUGGCCAUCGCCCGCCUUGCCAUGGAAAAAUUCAAAAAUUUCGUUCUGACGAAAGUACAGAUUUUAAGUUGUCUGGUCGCUCUGGAUAAACUGAAGAAGGACACCACGAAAGGUCAGCUGCAGCAGGUCGCUACCGGAUCCGGUAAAUCGGCCAUCGUUGCAGUAUUAGCCGCGGUCAAGGCGCUGGAAGGUCACACCGUGGACAUUUACACCAGCAGUCCGGUGUUGGCGGAGCGCGACGCGCAGGAAUGGGCGCCGUUCUACCAAAUGUUCGGGCUGACGUGCGGACACAACGGCGAUAAAGGCGUAUAUGUUGCUAAGAAGAAACCAUGUUACGAUCAGCGGAUUGUGUACGGCGAGUGUGCACAGUUUCAGUUUGAUUAUUUGCGGGAUAAGUACAGUGGAUUGGGUACACUGGGCGGCCGCAGUACGGACUUCGCUAUCGUCGACGAAGUGGACUCUGCGUUAAUCGACGACAGCGCGAAACUGGCGCGCCUAUCGACGACCUUGCCGGGAAUCGAUACACUGCAUGUUUUGUACUGUCUCAUCUGGGAUCGUCUGUUACAUAUACAGUCCCACCUGUUCUCCAUCCGGGAACGACAGUUCUACGUCGAAGGACGAAUCACACGGGAAGAAUCUGUUGGAACUUUCGCGUACCAUUUUGCAAACGUGGAAGAUGAACUGCUUGCAAUUCGAAAUUUAGUCAAGUUCAUCCUGGAAGCAUCGAAUGACGAUUUGCUCAAAGCCAGAAUCUUCGUGGUGGAUGACCUCGAGAUGUUCGUCAAGAACCACAUGACAGAGCACGUUCAGUCUGUACUGGAAUCGGAAUCACUUGGUUUGCAGUUCCCUGUCCACAUUAAGGACUUCGCGCGAAACCAGAUUCCGUUGUGGGUAGAGAGUGCCUUGACCGCCAUUAAAUACCAGGAAAAUGUCCACUACAUUGUCGAUGAAGGCCAGAUUAAACCGGUGGACUAUCUAACCACAGGUGUGGUGCAGUCCAGCACCAACUGGAACAACGGUCUCCACCAGUUCCUACAGCUUAAGCACUCGUUGAAGAUCCAUUCGGAAACAGUGACAACGAAUUUUUUGUCGAACUAUUCAAUGUUCAGCAAGUACGGUACCAAUAUCAUCGGCUUCACCGGGACCUUGGGAUCCACCUAUGAACGGGAGAUCAUGUAUAACAUUUACCAUGUAAAGCUACUCGUUCUGCCAGAAACCUACUUUAAACGCUAUAUCCAGUUUCCGGAUAUUUGCGUGGAAACCGAAGAGCAGUGGCUGAAAGAGAUUGCCAUUACGACCAUGGCGGAAACGUCGAAAAUGCGAGCUGCUCUAGUGAUCUGUGAAACCAUCAAAACGGCGCAUCUACUUGCUUCAGUUUUUUCCGGCUUUAAGGUCAAAGUUAAGCUGUACGUAAAAAACCAAGAAGGACAAGAAAAGCAGAUCGAACGUCUCCACCCUGGUGACGUGGUUGUAGCGACCAAUCUCGCGGGUCGCGGUACCGAUCUGAAGACCACAGAAAUCGAAGAAUACGGCGGACUGCACGUGUGUCUAACGUUUCUUCCACACAGCCAACGGACGGAAGAACAGGCAUUCGGCCGAACGUCGCGACAAGGCAACAAAGGCACCGGGCAACUGAUUAUCAUCGGCGACCCACACUCCGAUUACCGGCACCAGCGCGACCUCGAAGAAAAACGCAUGCUGGAGGAUUUUCGCGACCGUGAACUCCCAUAUAUUCAAAUGAAAGGGAAGCUUUUUGAAGAAUUCUGCGAAUAUUACAACAGCGUUCGCCAACAGCUGCAAAGUCAACGGAGUUUCUGGAAGAACAUGGGCGACGGUGUCCAGGAUGUAGCGCAGUCGUGGCUCGGUGUUGGAAGUGGCAGCGCUCCUUCGCUUUUGGAAACAGUUGUGCUUUUGUCCGUGGAAGAGCAGUGGGCAAAGUUUCUCCUUAUGGUGGACCGCGAGAAAUUCGACAGUGAGAAAGCACGUGCAGAAUUGCAGACUUUUAAGUCAAAUCUGGAGAAAGCGGAAAGUAACCAUGACCUUAUUAAGGCCGCCAGCAACGCCUUCUAUUUCGUGCAGUUGGGAAAUUUUGAAUAUGUCAACGAACGUCACGCAGCGGCUACGGAAUACUACGAAACCGCCGUUCAAAUGGAUCCACCGUUUGCUGUCGGUGCACAAAUGGGCCUUGCCGCUGCAUCGCUUAACGCCGGUGAUUCAGCGGACUAUAAAAGAAAAGCGGUGGAGGAAUUUCACGGCGUUCUGAGUCUGCUGUACAAAGAGAUGUCCGUCAUUAACACGAUGCAGGCUUUGUCUCAAAAGCCAUUCUCUCCGGGUUCAGCUUCCGAUACACCGCUUUUCCAGCAGCUCAUACAAAAGGCGAAUCUCCUGGGCUAUUUCAUCAACACCAUUCAAUCCAAUAUUGAUGCGACGGAAAGGUCACUGCGAAAGGUCAACCUGGAAUAUCAGACAAAAUCUGACAGAUGCACUAUCCGUCUGCCGAAUGAUCUUCUUUUAAAGAAUUCGAAAACCCGAUGCCUUGAUGAAAAUCUGAAACCGUUUGAAAAGUUCAGUUUGACGUUUCACGAUCAAACGGUGCACCAUGAUAGCGUCGAGAAGGAUCAGGCGCUAGAAACUCUUCCUGGGAUGAUGGCUGCCCCUCUGCUGUGGAGAUCGUCCAGAGUCACUUUGUGCUGUGAAUCCGCUGAUAUCGCAAAACUUCUCGACGAACCCAACUUUAAACUGUUCAAGAAGGUUCCCGAAGUUAGCGUUGAAGUUCUUAAGAUGCACCGGGAUUUCGAUAAAGGAGGAAAGUUGCCAUUUCAGUUUAACGAUAUCAAGGAUUUAGGUGUUAGCAGUUUUGAUCUGGAGAUUUCUGGUCCUCAGCAAACCUUGAUAAGGGCCGCCGAGAAUCUAUUAAAGAAAUCGAAGACAUUUGAGCACGAUACGAUCGUUCUUGUAGCAACUGAUAAUACUAACGAGCAGCAGUUGAUCAGCAAAGUUUUGCCAUCGAAAAUGGAGGAAAAAGAGAAACUGGCCAUCAUCGAGCAGUUUAAAGGUAGCUGCAUCUCCAUUAAAGUCACUGGGUUGUCUCGUGCCGCUAAUGUGCAUAAUUCGAACGAAGCUUUGGGUAAAGAUUACAAUCCAGCGGCACCGCAACUAAAUAUUAACUUAACUCUUCGUGGUUUGAAAGCAAAGCCGAAGACAGAUGGCGAGAAAUCGAAGAAGGAUGGCGAAUCGUUUAAAAACGUGGUGAAAGCCGCAUGGAACAAAGAAAUCGCCAAUUACAAGACGAAUCUUAUUUUAUCGGAAAUGUCGUCCGAUACUGCUAAAGAUGUGAUCAAAGUCAUUCGAAAGCAUAACAUCAGAUUCACGAUGCAGCUGUACAAUUUGAGUUGGGACGAUGCGAAUAAGCUACUGAAAGAGGCAAAGAUUGACCAGGAGCAGAUGAACCAGACAAAAGUGCAAGAGCUCCCGGACAUGUUCACCCACAGCCAAGUGCCGUUGCAGGAGAUACGGGAACUGAGCGCACGUGGUAUUCUCCUGCUAGUGUCCUUCAACGAGAAGCAGUUUAUUCCGUGGAUCAGCUUGUUCAGCGUCUGUGGACUGGCGUCAGUGCAGGCGGUGGCGGGCGGGCUCCUCAUCACGACGGGUUUCGGAGCCAGCCUGGGAAUGUCACUAGUUACGGAGGCCAUGUCGGAUCUGACCACGGCUCACCGUAUUUACACCACCCGCAAUUUCAGCUGGAACGAUUAUGUUACACAGAAAGCUGUCAGUGUGGUCAUAACGGUAUCGACCAUGGGCUUAAACAACCUGGCAAACGGCGCAAAAGGAAUGAAACUUCUUGCUACGGGAACUACCGCUGCUAGUUCGACGGUAGCGGCUGCCAACACCGCGAUUAUCAACACAACCGGAGCAAACCUUAGAGUUUUGGCGGUUAAACACAUCGCCGUGCGCACCACCGAAACUGGCGCCCGCAUCGGAUUGAAAGUCCUGACCGACAAACUGUCGGGGUUCUGUUUCGAACAAAUUCGCGAAGCCAUUGUGCGAGAAGUGGAACCCAGAGUAGAAAACGCAUUCUUCCAUCAAAAAUUCAAGACUAUUAUAGCAAUAACAUGGGCGCAACACCGCAUCCUCGAUGCCGGCACUCCUACAGCGACGACGGCGCUGACUCUGCAGCGCAAACUGGAACGAUUGGUGAAAGCCACCAUGAAUCCGCAAUUGCCAACGUGGCGUGCGUGGUGGAACUCAGUCGGCGCGCCGUUGGCUAACAGUAUUUUAUCCGAUCCGAAUUUCGUCGGGAGCGCCUACAGCAAACUGGUCAUGUGCUGGGGCGCCGUGUCCGGUCUACAUGAAAUAGCCGAUAUCACUUCCCGAGUUUUUAAUGAAAUGGAAGGCAAAUUGCAGGAAGACGUGGAGGUCUUCCGGCAGAUAUUACGCAAAAACGAUUUCUCCGCCGAAUCAAUUAAUAAAAUAUGCACAAAAGAAAACUUAAACAAUAAUUUCAAAGGUUUUAACGUUGUUCUGGACAGAAAAGAAAACGAAGUACUGCAAAAACUCUUGAUUACCAUGUCCGAACAGCAGAAGCAAUUUGACGCAGCCCAAGUGCGGGUCGAAAUGAGUGUGCUGCAUAAAGCGGUGACCGAUCUGAUCGUCGGCCACAUCAUUCGCACUGCCAACGCCCAUCUUGUGUCGCCCGUUAUGUCGCAAGCGGCCGGUGCUAUUGUACGCGGUAUCUCGGAAGAACUGCAGAAGCGCUUCCUGGUUAGCGAAGCGCAGGACUCGAAAGACCCAAAGUUCCUGGACCGGACACGAACAAUCAAAGGGCAAAUUGAAAUGAAUGCCAAGGAAUAUAUGAUUAACUUUCAGUUACGGGAAAUGAUUGCAAAAGCCGAAGCCGCUACCGAGCGCGCCGAAAGAGACGGAAUUAAAGACGGUGCGCCGGACGACCCUGAGGUCAAGAAAUUAGCUACGGAUAUUGCCGAUAAUAAGCCGAUCGACAAUCCGACUUUUCUUUUACUAGCAAAGUUCCGUAACCUUAAUAUCAAAAUCGUUGAAGAUCCGGAUUACGUACCCACCGAAGAGGAGAAAGCUUCCGGUGUGCGUAUUGUCGUUUACACACCACCGCCGCCGGGUGAACCCAACGGCGUGGGGCAUUAUGCUCUGAAGAACGCUGACGGAGACGGAUUUGAGAUUGAGGACACAGGAGACAGCAGUCAGAAUAACUGCGGCUACGACAUUCUGUCGAAGCUCGCUGCCGAUUCUCCGUCCGCAUCCGAACUACGACUGCAAGCGGUCAGCAUGAUGUUGGCUGACCCACAGGCCACUCGCGACAUACUCGAGAUCCACAGAUGGUUCGAAGAUAAUUUCGCGCAAGAAGCGUCGCUUUUUCUCGGGGUGGGCGGAGCUCGAGCUCCUGGUCAACUGACGCCUUCAGAGAAGAGAAGGCGAGGGAGAGGCACCAUUUACGUUUUGGAACACGAAGACGAAGAUGGUACGCGACGGGUGAAAGUGGGUAUGACCAAGCGGUCAGUCAGCAAGCGCCAGAAGGAAUUAGAAAGGAAGAAUCGCGAAAAAUACACCCUUGUUCAUACCAAGGAGGUAAACUAUCGGUAUUCUGUUGAACGAGAUGUCCACGACGAAUUAAAGGAAAGUAGAAGUCCGCGAAAUGUCCAGGGUGGAACGGAAUUCUUUACGACAGAAAGCAGCGUAGUCAUUCAGACCAUCGAUUCUGUCAGCAGGUCAUACGAUGACGCUUAUCCCGGUGGGUUACUUCCGGAGGAUCAGAACAGUGUUCCAAGAAACGAGCCCAAACCGCCUGCUGACCAAGACAACGUUGACUAACUAGGAAGUUUCAGUGUUAUUAAAACCAACUAUCCUUUGGAUAUCAUUGACUUCGAGCAGCCCAUCAUGCAGAGCCCAGAGAUGUUCUUUUCUGUCUGUUAAUUCAUGUUUACACACCUUCUAAGUAAUUUAUUGGUUUAUUAAUAGUUAGUUCAGCAUCCUCGCGUAACGGGAAAACAACGCCGACAAGAAGGAAAUUGUUCCAAAAUCUGUUGCACUGCCCGGAAUAAAAUAGUGACAGGCUGAUAGCUCAUAACUGCGUGGCAUGCGGCAAAUUAGUGGAAAUGAAUGGCCAUCACGGGCUUUCCUGCAAUAAAUCAACAAAAGGGCGAUGGGCCAGACAUAGAGAAAUGAACAGUAUUGCCAAAAACUGUUGCGAGAGUGCAGGAUUCCCAUGUCAACUGGAACCGAUGGGCCUAUCACCAAGUGCGGCGAUUCGACCUGACGGCAUGACGCUUAUUCCAGUCCGUCAGGGAAAGUCUGUUGUAUGGGAUGUCACAAGCUGGUGUGCAGUAGCCGAUUCCCACGGAAGUUCGAAGAAAGCAGGAAGUGUGGCUCACCUGGCAGAAAAUGAGAAGCGACGGAAAUACUCUCCACUGGAAAGUAGAGACCUUUUCUAUCCCUUAGUUGUUGAAACGUUCGGUGUCUUCGGCCCAGCUUUAAGUGAAUUUGCACAUUUUAUGGGCCGUAAAACUCGUGAAUUAACUGGAGAAGCGCAUUAUACUGGUUUUAUGAAGCAACGUUUUAGUUUGGCUGUCAUAACGGAAAUGCUACUGCUGUGUUAAGUACGUUGCCUUUUAACCCGCGG
Paramacrobiotus metropolitanus is the source of this 13028-nucleotide RNA transcript. RefSeq lists it as uncharacterized. The transcript is spliced from 8 exons. The record is from RefSeq and is a predicted model, not a curated record. Lineage: Eukaryota; Metazoa; Tardigrada; Eutardigrada; Parachela; Macrobiotidae.